UACGUAGGGUGCAAGCGUUAAUCGGAAUUACUGGGCGUAAAGCGUGCGCAGGCGGUUUUGUAAGUCAGAUGUGAAAUCCCCGGGCUUAACCUGGGAACUGCGUUUGAAACUACAAGGCUAGAGUGUGACAGAGGGGGGUGGAAUUCCACGUGUAGCAGUGAAAUGCGUAGAGAUGUGGAGGAACACCGAUGGCGAAGGCAGCCCCCUGGGGUUAACACUGACGCUCAGGCACGAAAGCGUGGGGAGCAAACAGG
This 254-nucleotide ribosomal RNA is filed under the name uncultured bacterium. RNAcentral's name for it is "partial 16S ribosomal RNA". It matches the Rfam family "Bacterial small subunit ribosomal RNA", at positions 524 to 776 of the family's 1533-position model. The record is from RNAcentral.